Molecule: long non-coding RNA, 221 nt
Organism: Stegostoma tigrinum
Lineage: Eukaryota; Metazoa; Chordata; Chondrichthyes; Orectolobiformes; Stegostomatidae
Exons: 3
Source: RefSeq, a predicted model, not a curated record
GAACAGCGGAUGUGAGUCCUUCCUUCAGCAUGCAGAGCUGGAGUACAAGAAGCUAAACUUCAUAAAGGGAAUGACAAUUUAUACAACGAAAGAGAAGGAUGUCAACUGACUGGAUCCUCGAUUUUCUCCUCGAGGCUACUUUAAUCUGUGCCUGCUGACAAGGUCUGAGAGUCAAUUAGCUCCUCUAUCCCAACCACAAUGAAAGCCGGACAAAACACAGG